AAAAUUUCAUUCGCACUAGUGAUAGCUAGUUUCCUCGGAAAGAUAUAAAAGUGUCCCAAAAAAUAUAAUUUAUAAUAUGAAUUAUUAUAUAUAUAUACAUGUAUUUUACUAAUUUUUUUGAGGAUAAGCUCAAAAAAAAGUUAAGGAUCAUUCUGAAUUAAGUUUGCUAUGUGGGCUUAAAAUUGGCCACUAUAAAAGUUUUUUAUAAAAUAGUAAUUUUAACUCUACAGAUAAAUAUAAUUUAAACUAACCCCUUACGGGGAUAAAAACUUUAAUUUAAAAAAGUUUUAUGCCUAUGCUAGAAUGAGUAUUAAAACUUAAUUAUAGAAGAUUUAUUUGUGUCUUCUUCAAAGAUAAUUAAAAAAAUUAAUUAAUUAGAAGGAAUUCGGCAAAUUUAGUUGUUUCGCCUGUUUAUCAAAAACAUGGCUCUUUGAUUACAUAAAUAUAAGGAGUCGGGCCUGCCC
Molecule: ribosomal RNA, 464 nt
Filed under: Semisulcospira libertina
Lineage: Eukaryota; Metazoa; Mollusca; Gastropoda; Semisulcospiridae
Description: partial 16S ribosomal RNA
Source: RNAcentral